AGUCCUGCAGCUCAGUGGUUAGAGCACUCGCCUCGUAAGCGAGAGGAUCUGGGUUCAAUUCCCGGCAGGGCGA
This 73-nucleotide transfer RNA is filed under the name Callorhinchus milii (elephant shark). RNAcentral's name for it is "tRNA-Thr (CGT) (tRNA-Thr-CGT-23-1)". It matches the Rfam family "tRNA". Rfam says of the family: Transfer RNA (tRNA) molecules are approximately 80 nucleotides in length. Their secondary structure includes four short double-helical elements and three loops (D, anti-codon, and T loops). Lineage: Eukaryota; Metazoa; Chordata; Chondrichthyes; Chimaeriformes; Callorhinchidae. The record is from Rfam by way of RNAcentral.